RNAcentral lists this ribosomal RNA (112 nucleotides) under Klebsiella oxytoca. The record is from RNAcentral. RNAcentral also lists the same sequence under 3 other names. Lineage: Bacteria; Pseudomonadati; Pseudomonadota; Gammaproteobacteria; Enterobacterales; Enterobacteriaceae.
UGGCGGCAGUAGCGCGGUGGUCCCACCUGACCCCAUGCCGAACUCAGAAGUGAAACGCCGUAGCGCCGAUGGUAGUGUGGGGUCUCCCCAUGUGAGAGUAGGGAACUGCCAG